GACGAACGCUGGCGGCGUGCCUAAUACAUGCAAGUAGAACGCUGAAGGAGGAGCUUGCUUCUCUGGAUGAGUUGCGAACGGGUGAGUAACGCGUAGGUAACCUGCCUGGUAGCGGGGGAUAACUAUUGGAAACGAUAGCUAAUACCGCAUAAGAGUAGAUGUCGCAUGACAUUUGCUUAAAAGGUGCAAUUGCAUCACUACCAGAUGGACCUGCGUUGUAUUAGCUAGUUGGUGAGGUAACGGCUCACCAAGGCAACGAUACAUAGCCGACCUGAGAGGGUGAUCGGCCACACUGGGACUGAGACACGGCCCAGACUCCUACGGGAGGCAGCAGUAGGGAAUCUUCGGCAAUGGACGGAAGUCUGACUGAGCAACGCCGCGUGAGUGAAGAAGGUUUUCGGAUCGUAAAGCUCUGUUGUAAGAGAAGAACGAGUGUGAGAGUGGAAAGUUCACACUGUGACGGUAGCUUACCAGAAAGGGACGGCUAACUACGUG
This 495-nucleotide ribosomal RNA is filed under the name uncultured bacterium. RNAcentral's name for it is "partial 16S ribosomal RNA". It matches the Rfam family "Bacterial small subunit ribosomal RNA", at positions 28 to 507 of the family's 1533-position model. The record is from RNAcentral.